UGUUGGUUAUGUUUUUGAACAACAACUAAGACAUAGAAACAAGGUUAUCGAUGUGUGCCAUCGGGAAAAGGUUUCAGAGCAUCUUAGUUCCCAUUAACAUAAUAUUCAACAACUGCUUUCAUUCGCCGAAGCUUAUCACGGUGGUAAUUCAAGUGAAUAAUAACCGGUUUCAAUUUACUGAGGUUAGCAUCGUUCCUCACUGUCACUAUCAUAUUUAGAUAUAAAGUCUGCAUUUCUGAAUGGACCACUUGAAGAGGAUGUGUAUAUUACACAACCACUAGGAUUUGAAGUAAGUGGGAAGGAGCAUAUGGUGUACAAGUUACACAAAGCCCUCUAUGGCUUGAAAUAAGCACCUAGAGCAUGGAAUAAGAGGAUUAAUCAGUUCCUACUUCAAAUUGGAUUCAGAAAAUGCAAAGUAGAAUAUGAUAUAUAUGUUCAGAAACUAAAUGAUGAAAACAUUACUAUAAUCUGCUUAUAUGUAGAUGACUUACUAGUAACUGGAAGUAAUCCAAGUGAGAUUGAGAAGUUCAAACACACUAUGAAGUGUGAGUUUGAAAUGACUGGUUUGGGAAGAUUAUCUUAUUUCCUUGGAUUUGAGUUCACAACUAGCAAAGCAGGCAUAGUGAUGCAUCAACAGAAGUACAUUGGAGAACUGCUUGAAAGAUUUCAAAUGAUUGAUUGCAAUAAUGCAUCAAAUCCAUCUGAAACAAAUGCUAAACUAGAUGAAUGUAGUAAUGAAGAAAAGGCGGAGUCUACUGAAUUCAAACAGAUAGUGGGAUCACUAAGAUACUUAUGCAACAACAGACCAGAUAUAUGCUUUGCAGUAAGUAUAAUCAGUAGAUUCAUGAAUGAUCCAAGGAAGUCUCAUCUCACUGCAGCUAAAAGAAUAUUGAGAUAUGUGAAAGGUACAUUGAAGUUUGGCCUGUUAUUUCCAGCUGCAAAUAAAGUAGGAGAAGCUGAAUUAGAGGGAUACUCUGAUUCAGACUGGUGUGAAGAUAUAAUGGAUAGGAAGAGCACUUAUGGCUACCUAUUCAAGUUCAAUGGUGUUGCAAUCUCAUGGUGCAAAAAGAAACAACCUGUAACGCCCUAGUCGUUAAUUUAUUUAUUUUGAAUUUAUUUAGAGUCUUUUAUGUGAUUUUAAAUAAAAUUGGUGAUUUAUGUGGUGUGUUAUAUUUUAUUAUAAGGUUUAUUUUAAUAAUAAUUAGAUUAAGUGAAAAAUUAAUAUUAUUUUGGAGUGUGGGGAGUUAAUUAGAAAUUAUUAGAAUUAAGGGGGAGUAAUUGAAAUAAAGGGAAGUUAAGAAGGGAGUUAAGAAAGAAAGAAAGAGUCAGAAACGUUUUACGUGAAAAACUGUCAAGUUGGGAGAAAAGGGAGAGAAGAGCAAGUAGAGCCAAGUUCAUCAAUUGUUGUGCAUUUCUUUCAGCAAUUCUAAGGUAAGGGUGAGGUUUGGUUCAUUAGUAUAGAUUCUAAAUUCUGAUUUUGGGUUUAACCUAGUUCUGGUAGAAAUUGGGAAUUUGGGGUCUAGGUUUUGAUUCUUCGAAUUCUGGAUGGAAUGAGUGUAGGAACCAUUGUUUUAGUGUUAGAAUUAUGUUCCGGACGAUUUUAGGAUUGCAUAACAUUACUAUAACCUGUUUUGGGGUAUGAAUUGGGAAAAAUUGGGGAUUUUUGGUGAAAAAUUGCAAAUUCACGAUUCUGGAACUGUCACAACUCGCCCUGGCGAAACCAUUUUCGCCUGGCGAAAUUUCGCCAUUCCCUCGCCAUUGGUUCGCCAUGGCGAAAGUGUCCAAAAAGUUUCCAGAGAACACUGACUUAGUUCGCCAUUCCUUCGCCUUUUGCUCGCCCUGGCGAAAGUGCCCAGUAGCUUUUCGCCUUUUGUUCGCCAUUGGCUUGCCAUGGCGAGAAGCCAAUUUUCGUUGAUUUCACCUGGCGAGUUUAGUAGUUCGCCUGGCGAAAGUACCUAGGAUUUAACAGUGUUUUGGAGUUUUGUAUACUCAGUUGUACGCAUUGUUUGGUUGAUACUUUUGGCUGUGCUAUGAUUAUAUAUGACUAUAUUAUUUACCAAGAGCAUGAUUAAUUGUUGAGUGAUGAUUCAUGUAUAAUUACACUUAAAUAAAUUAUAUAAAUGGUUGUUGAUUGAAAGGUAUGCUUUAUUUAAUUAAGUCAUACAUGUUGUGAGUCAUAUAUACAUAUAUGUAGGGUUGAGUUGUAUGUAGAUAUACACAAGUGGGUCAAUUACAUAAGCAUAAAAGCGGGAGGGCUUCGGCUCUGAAACGCCUUGUCGUUCAAAGCGGUGGAACACUUUGUUGUUCAAAGCGGUGUUUAGCGGUGAGGACUCAUGUCCUGAAAAAGAAUGCUUUAACCAUUCGAUUAGCGGUGAGGGCUUCGACCCUGAUUAUGGUACCACAUGCAUUUGUAGAGGAGUCUAGUGGACGUGUCGAGUGUUGCAUGAGUUGCAGUUAUUGGUCUUAAUUAUCGAAUGUUGUUGAUGUGGAUAACGAUGAUAUUAUAUAUGUUGAUGAAUUAUUAUUAUGAUAGGGUGUUAGAUUCAACUUGAUGAAUUAUUUAUCUAUAUUUUUGUUGUGAAUCUCACCCCUUCUGCUUGAAAAUGUUGCCCUUCCUAUGGGUAACUUGCAGGUGAUCCUGAGUAGUAGGUGGUGGCUCAAAGUGUCUAGGGCUCUGAUACGUGGGAUGGGAUUUUAUCGCUUAACUUCUUUCCUAUGUAUCAAAUUUUGAAUAUUGCUGAUGUAGCCCUAUGGUUGAUGAAUUUCCGUUGUUAGGCUUUUAUGCCAAGAUUAUUUGUUGGAGAACGAUUAUGUUGGAUGUUGUUAUUGUUUAAGUUGAAAAAUAUUCCGCUGCAAAUUUAAUAAUGAUUUUGAAGGAUGAUUAUUAAAUAGAUUUUAUAUUCUAUUAAAGAAAUUUUGAAUUGGGAGUGUGACAUGCCCGUUUGGGAUUCACUCUGAUGUUGAAAUAUUAUUUAUUAAAUUACUUUUGGGUAACGGGGUGUUACACAACCAGUCACUGCUCUAUCUUCAUGUGAAGCAGAGUACAUUGCUGGUACAUUUGCAGCAUGUCAAGCAAUUUGGCUUGACAAUGUUAUGAAGGAACUGAAUUGUGAAGUAAAGAAACCAUUGAAGUUGAAGAUUGGCAACAGAUCAACAAUAAAUUUGGCCAAGAAUGCAAUUGCACAUGCCAGAAGCAAGCAUAUAGAAACCAGAUUUCCCUUCAUCAGAGAACAAGUCACUAAAGGAAUGAUUGAAGUGGAACUGUCCUACUGAAGUUCAACUUGCAGAUGGUUUCACAAAAGCUUUGAAGAUUUAAAGGUUCACUUGCUUGAGGGACAAGUUAGGUCUCAUAGAGUGUUAGGAUUAUGGAUUAAGAGGGGUGUAUUAGUUUGUGUGUUUAAUCCAUAAUCAUGCUUAACAAACACUUAAGAGUUUAGUUUGUUACUUUGGAGAAACUUCAUUUUAGUUAGUUACAAGAGACUUACUCUAUAAGUCAUUAAUAUUGUAUAUAUACUUGUUUGUAACACAAUAAUCAUAAGUGUGAAUGAAAUUUUCAGUUCAAUAAAUUUUUUUUUCUCUCUCUCUCUAACAAACUUCAACCUCCAUAACAAACUUCAUCUUCUCCAUUGAAACCCUAAUUCAGUUUUACUUGCACUACAAGAAACCCUACGCUGCACUAAUAAUAUAUCUUCCAAUAUUUUUCCUUGUGUUGUGGCAUUCAUUCUCAUUUUAUCUUAAAAUUCUGGUAAUCAACAUCAACUUUCACACUAAAGAUAUCAAAUUUGAAGUCCAUCUAACCCCUUUUUCCAAACACACCAGAGGCUCCCGACCCAGCUAGGGGGAUUUGUAAAGCAUAAAAUCAAAAAUAAAGUAAAAUUGGCUUGUAGUUAAUCUUACGGAAAAUUGCAUUUACCUUCCCUGAAGACCCUUCAAAUAAAACAAAUAUCCCCUCUUGUUUUAAAAUAGGCAUUAACCUCCCAUAAGUUUUCAUCAAAUAAAUAGAAACUUCCCUUCUAUGUUAACCCUGUUUGUUUCUCCCUUUUUCCGUUAAAUUAAAAAAGGGAGUCUGAAACCAAGCUUCACACUCUGCAUUGGAAGCAUAGAAGGCAGUUUAAACCAAAAAAGAAUUACUAAAACAAAUCAAAAACAAACUUUGCAUAUUAAUAAGAUUAACUACAAGCCAAUUUUAUUUUAUUUUUUGUCUAAUUAUUAACUACUUUGCAAAUCAAAAACAAACUUUACUAAAAAUUAUUUGCAAUGACAAUAGUUUAAAUAAAUGGUAUAAUUGAAAGAAAAGUACUAGGUGAAAAACAUGUAUUAUCUUUGUAAAUGAAUAGAUAAAAUAAUGUGCUUUGACUUUUUUCUUUUGAAACAUAAAAUGAGCUUUGACUGGGUAUAGCAAUGCAGUGUACUCAACUUUAGAGUUGAUAAUAUAGUAUAGGGUGCAAGUCUUCAAUUUGAGGGUGUGCAAGAUAAAAACAAAACAUAGUAUAAAAUAAAAAGACUUGAGACUGUGCCAUAUGCCAGCGUUCUUUACGUUAACUCCAUCGAUAAAUGUUUCAUGAACUCUUGACAAAAAAAAAUUCAUGAACUCAUACUUAUAGUAUUUUUAUAAUAUUGCAAUAUUUUUCCUUUUCUUUCGUAUGCAUCAAUCAAAAACAAAUAUUCACUACCAAUCAAAAACAAAUAUUCACUACUUGACCAAAAAUAAUAAUAUUCACUAUUACGCAUAAUAGCUGCUUCAUCCCAUAUGCCAAUGAAACAAUUUCACUUGAGUCCAUUAUACAUAAUUGGACAUGUGCGUAUCUCAAGAUUGUUGAAUUUCAACUAUGAGUGAUUAUGUCCCACAUUGAUUAGAAAUUGAGAAAAUACUGAAUAUAUAAGAUAGGAGAUUCUUAUACCUGAUCCUUUAAGAUUUUAGGUGGAAAAGUGACGUCUAAGUCUCUUAAAAUUUGGACGUUUACUCCUAGUCCCAGUACUCCUCAACAAACAUGACACCAUUAAUUGAUUGGCCAAACAAUUUUUUAAUUAUUAAAAAAAUAUACAAGCUGCAAUUAUACAUAUUUUCAACUGUUAUGGAAAUUCAGUGGGGGGCUAUUAGAAUAGUCAACUUUACGACUAUUUCAGCUAGAUAUCGAACUCUGUUUCAUAAAUCCUAGUAUUAUUUGUCAAAAAUAAAAUAAAAUCCUAGUAUUAUAGGAAUUUUAAAAUCAUUUGAGUGACACUAUAAUUAAACUAACAGGGUAUUGUAAGGUUACUAACGCCAUACUCAUACUGCUAGUUUGCUACUUUUGCAUUAUUGUCAACUACUAGCAUGUGAAAAAUCAUGAUGCAUGAUGAAUUAUUAAAUGAUAUAUAUAUAUAUAUCUAAAAAUUAUUUCCAAAGGCAGUCAGUAUGAAAUUAAUUGUAUAUGUCAAUUUGAUUGUAAAGGGUUAAUUCCCAUAUAACCUUAAUUACGACUCAUAAUUCUUCCUUUGAUGCAUAUAUACAUGAUGUAUGCACCACACCUGCAAUUUAUAAUUUUUUUAUUUUUUUUAUUUUUAUGAAAAUCUUUGAAUAGAACAAGUACAAAAAUAGAGAGAAGGAAAGAGGAAGAGAAUAGAACAAGAAUAGAGAGAAUGAGAGAGGAGAAGAGUAUUCUAUUAUACUUUGAGUGUAUAGAGAAUUACAAUAAUAUGACAUAUUUAACCCAAACAACUAUGAUUGUAAUUGAUUUGUCAAAAGUUUUUAAAAUAGGAACUAUUCUUAUAAACUUUAAUAUUGUGGAGGAGUAAAAUUAUCAAUAAAAUUUUAUCGAAACUAAAAUUGAAAACUCUUAAUUUUACAGGACUAAAAAAUAUUUAACACUAAAUUUAUUGAUAUUUCCAUAUGCCAAAAUAUAGUUCAGUAUUGUUAAAGACUUAAAGUAAUCAAAGACUAUACCACCCGGAAAAGAAAAAAAAAAGUAUUCAAAAGCUUGUUUAGUGUGAAUCAUUGUUAUUUGACUAGUUCGUGUGAUUCCUGCGAAUUAAGUAUCGUACCAAACAGCAUUUUUCUUAUAAUAUUCAUAACAAUGUAUGGAUGUCCAACGAGAAUAUGCCUUAAUAAAAUCUUAUUAGAAAAGAAAUACCAACUGCUUGAGAUAUUAUCUUCAUAUUGAGUUAUUUCUAGGGUUGCUAUAAGAAAACAACAAGUAAUUUCUUGUAUGUUUAAAAUUACAAUCUUUAAUAAAAGAGCAUUCUCCACUUCCUUGACGCAGUCCUAACAUUUUCAAAUGAUCGGUUGAUAUUGUUGUUUCUCUAAAAUUCAAAUUGUAUACAUGACUUUGUACCAAUAACUUUAUGUUUAUUAAUAAUAUUGACAAAAAUAAAAUACCAUGAUAAUUAUAAUUAGGAAAAUACGACAGUGCCCUCAUUUGAACUAAGAUAUAUACUUCAGGACCAAUUUAAGUUGUUCAUCAUUUUCUUGAGGACAUGAUUUUUUACUCAUAACAAGUGACAUCAUAAUUAUUCUAAUACAUAAUAAACUAAAUUUCCACAUCAAAGUAUUUUAACACAUUUGUUUUAUGGUGAUAAGUUUCUUUAUGCACAAAAUCUCAUUUAAAUAUUAAAUUUUCAAUCCAAACAAACUUUGUGCUUCCAAUGUAUUCCAUUUCAAACCUUUUGAUAAUCAACAUGUUUUAGAAUCUUUUUAGGAGUUCUGAUAAUAUAUAUACCAUUCUUAUGAAAUCGAUGAUAACAAAUUCAUUUCUAAAUCUUUAAAAUUAACAAACGAUAUCAUCUUUUCAAUAGUUUUAAUAGUAUGUCUCACGAAAAUUAAAUGUUUCAUAUAAUUAUCACUAUCAAGUGAGCCAUACAGAUACACUGUAACACAUUUUUCAUAUAAAUCAUGUUUUUCAAUUGGAACUAAACAUAAUCAAGCAAUAAAAAAAAUUUGUGAACUCACUUCAGACACCAUGUCUCUCUUAAAAAUUAAUGUUAGAAAUUUACACAUCAAUAUCUAGUGAACGUAUAUGUUGCAGUAUAGGACAAAGCCUAUCCACUAAUGAGUUCCAAAGGGCUCAUCCCCGAAGGAGUUUAAGGGCAUGUCGUUUGUAAGCAAACAAACCCAUAAGAAUACAACUUAAGCUACCAACAACGUAGAAGAACACAGACCAAGGCGAACAACCGACAAGGUCUGUAACACAAGAAGACACAAGCCGAGGUGAAUAACCAGCAUACUAUGUUUCAUAUGAGCACCCACAAACCAAAGGUGAGAAACCAAUAGGGUCUGUGGAACAAAUAUAGAAAAGAACAAGAUCUACAACUCUCCUUUAAAGGACAACAAUUGUCCUUAAAAGUACUACGAUUGUCCUUCCAAGGUAGCUAUCCAAGCAAGGAUGUAAGGGUGUAAGACCUAAGACACUACUAUUAUUUGUCGGGUCAAAUUAAUGCAAUUUCUUUAUUCAGUUAUGAACAAAAUUAUAUUUUAUUUUCAAUUGUUCUGAUCGUUAUAAUUCUUCUAGACCCUAGGUUUGGCAACCCUAAUUAUCUAUUUAUGUCCUCUAAGUUAAGGUAUAAGAAUGACGAUUUUGCUUUAACUCGAAUAAGAACAAUAUAAACUUUGCUUAAUUAUCUUUAAGUAAUUAGGGUUAAUUAGGGAUUUCAUAAUGCGGGUAAAUUACCCACCAUUUUUUAAAGGCAAUCUAGGCUUCACCUUCAUGUAUUUUCUAAUGCCUUUACUCAAAGGUCCAAACCCGAACAUUGCACAAAAGCCACUACUCCAUAUAUAAUAGUAAGUAUUGGACUGAACAAUAUAAUGCAGAACAACACAACACAAGGCAUAACAGUACACGACAAAUUUUUAUGGUAUUGAAUAAUUUCAUGUUUUAUAUGCUUUUUGGGGGACGAAAUGUUAUUUUGGGUGUUUUAGACAACUUGUAAGUGGGACAAAAAGUUAUGCUGUGGUUUGGUGAGGGACAAAAAUUUCAGUUUUUGUCAUGUCCCUUGCCUCCAGUUUGUUCUGUCCCUGAAACAAUUUUACAAAUCAAACACUAAACAACUGAAGUUGUUCUGUUGUCCUUCAUUUUCUAACAAAUUAAACGCACCCUCAUCAACAUUUGGUCGGUAACAUACUUUAAAAUGUCACUUUUUAGAUAUUUUUAAAACAUUUUUCAAAAAAGGUUACCAACACCAUUACAGUUUUUAAUUGAUUUUAACAAUAUAUAAAAGGUGUUGCGUUUGUUAUAUAUAAAAAGUUGUUGCGUGUUACAAGUUUUUGAUAUACAUUUUAAUUAUGUUGUUUCCUACAAUCAAAUCAAAUCAAGUAUUUUAAUUACCUUGUUUCCUACAAUCAAAUCAAUUAGUUAUAUAUACAUUUUACAAGUCUCUUUCACUUGUUCACAGAGAGAUAACUCGUAUCAAUGUCACGGUCAACUCUGGAUCCAUGAAAUUUCCAUCUCCUGAAUUGUUACUAGAUCUUAAUUAUGUUGUAGUGGCUUGCUAACACUGUGUUUAUGAGGAUGAGAUAAAAACAACUUAAAACAUUAAAUUAGCAUACAACAAACAUUGGUAAAAAAAAAAAACAUACAACAAACAUUAUAGUGUGAAAAUGAGGGUAAAAGCAUAAGUAUACAUGCUGGUUAAGUUUUAGAACAACAACUAAGACAUAGAAACAAGGUUAUCGAGGUGUGCCAUCGGGAAAAGGUUUGAGAGCAUCUUGGUUCCCAUUAACAUAGUAUUCAACAACUGCUUUCAUUCGCGGAAGCUUAUCACGGUGGUAAUUCACGUGAAUAAUAACCGGUUUCAAUUUACUGAGGUUAGCAUCGUUCCUCACUGUCCUGAAAAGAACUCUGCUGUUCAUAAAAAGAUAUAUAUCCAUAGUUCUUUUAGCAGCAUGAAGCCCGUCAUAACCAGGAUGUGAUGGAUGAAAGAGUUCCUCGUUGAAAACGGCUUGGUCCCAUGCAUUACCCUUCGAAAGUCGUGCUGCCACACGGUCCAAAAGCUCAAUUGAAGGAAUGGUUGGUCUGAUAUAGAAGAAACCAGAAUUGUAAACAAAUAUCCUCGUGGUAUAAACGUUAGUAGACCAACCCAUCCCAUGGUCUUUGAAGACAUCGUUGUAGCCAUAAGCUGUCAUGUUAUUAUGACCAUCGCUCAUGGACUCAACAUCCGAAUCACGGUAUAAAUGAUCAAAAGGAUUCUGCAAAUAUACAAUGUCGAUGUCUGAUAGAAGAACACUAUAUCCCAACUGCAAAAAUUCUCUUAGAAUACGAAAUUUAAGCCCGGAGACAGCCCCACCGUUUGGAAUUUUUCCAACAGUAUCAAUAUCAUUAUCCGGGUCUCUUUGGUAAAAUGGGACUUUAUUAGAUUCACAAAAUUUUGCAAUCUCAUCGUCUAAGGCAACAACUAGAUAAUUAGGUAUACCAACUCUCUUGAUAUUGGUGAACCAGACCUCGAGCAUUGCCUUCACAUUUGAGUUUGCAAGGGUAACUAUGAUCUCUCGUUUAACUGCGAUUUUCUCUAAUAAAUUUGCCAAUCUCGGGUUCAAGAAUUCAUCAGGAGCAACAGUAGGAUUGGUUCUUAAUGCCUUGACAGUACCAAAAGGUCCAGCUUUUUCCUGUUUACUCAAUGCAAGCAACUUUUUUUCAGCCUGGUCUUUUCCUUCCGUCAACUCCCUCACCUGUUUUUUCAGCUCUGCAUUUUUAUCUGAUAAGAGUGCCACAAAUUCUGAUUUUAACAUGUUAACUCUAUCUGAUGAUUCAGAUUCAGCUGAAUUUUCCUGCCAAAAGAAAAUAAAAUAAAAAAUCACUGAGAAAUAAAGAAGUCAUUGUUGGGAAAAAAGAAGAAAGCUAAGAUGCAUCCUAUAAGAUGCUCACAUAAUCUUGAUAAUGAUGAAGAAAGGUAUUAUAAAAUUACUAAUUGAAGUUAGAGAACUUCAAUGAUGAAAAUGAAACCUGGGUCUUGGGUACAGCAACAGGUAGGUGACGAAUUGAGGUAAUAGAUUGAGAAACAAAGAAGUCAUUAGGAAAAUAGAAAACUAUGAUGCAUCCAGCAAGAACUCCAAUGAUUACAGUGGUAAUGAUCCUUGAUAUGAGUAGAGAUUGAGGGCUGUUCUUCAUCAAAGGUCCUUCUCUUUCUCUGCGCUCAAUCAUUGUAUCCACCACCAACUCAAAGACUGAGAUUGAAAUGGUAGUUUUGUUUUGUUCUGGUUAUAUAGGGUUUUGAAGCUUUGGAGGGUUAAUUAAGAAAUGGAGAAUUGGGUGGUCAGUUUGAGCGCAGAUAUUCAGUACUUCGACUUUGAUACUGAAUUUGAUUGAACUACUAGCCUCUCAAACAUUCUUGAUGGGAAUAUGAGAAUUCAUCUAUACCUAUAUAUAGUGUUGCGAAUUCGAUGAGAAUCACACCAAUAACAACUUGAUGUGUGGAGCAAGGGAUAGUCAAGCAACCAAAAUCAAAGUGUAUGAAAGUUAUAAAUACAAGCCAAAAGUAGAAAACAACGGCGAGAAAAACACAAAGAAGAGAAGAACACAAAAGAAUUUGUUGACACAGUUCGGUCCAAAUUGACCUAGUCUGAGGGAGAGAGCAGCCUUCCGAUCCACUAUAUGAUGAGUAUCGUUACAAAGAGAAAACAAUGGGUUACAAGAAUAAGUCUCCCGCCUAAUUCUACCCAAAGCCCCAAUCUCUUCCCGUAACCAAGAGACUCAAUCCUAAUAGUGUUUCCCAAGGUGAAUCAACCCUCAAACCCUAGUGUUUGUUCCAAAGAGACAAACUCUAUACAAACCCUAGUUUUGUUGUUGUUUUUCUCCAUCGUGGCACGAUUCUCUAGAAUUCUGAUUUUAAGUUAACUCUCACAUAUAGAAAAAGGAAUGUGCGAUUUUGGAGUGAUUUUUUCACUUUUAAAUUUAUCAUUCAUUUAAAUUAUCAUAUUUACAAUCAUAAUCCUUUUAUUAAAUUAUUAAUUGUAAUGUUAAGAAUACCGACCCAAUUAUCCUUUGGGUCGUCUACAAUAAAUGGGUUAAGUCAAGGUCCAGGGAGGUGACUACCUCGUCAAGCUAAAUGGGACUGACCUACUGACCCACCUUAAGAAAAAUAGCACCUCACAACGAUAUGCUAGGAUGGGUAAUGACCUUCUACUACUAAAUAUCAGUAACCACCUCAUUCACACUAAAGCACUGGCACACUCCAGCACCUUGAACGUAACCAUAAUUUGAAUAGCAUCAAGUCAUUCCUAUGUAUAGAGGGACCUAACAUAAACCAAAUAAUCUAGUUAGACUGAACAAACCUUCAUAUAUACAUGAAUCAUUCCUAUUUACAGUGGAUUCAUCAUAAUAUGAUAGGUACUUCAACCUAUCCCAGGUUCAGUUAUUCCGAUUAUCUAUAUUAACCUCAUAACAAACAAUAUUAGAGCUAAAUUGAGAUGAUAAAAACAAAUUAAACAAGGAGCUUAACAUCUAAUCCAUUACUAUAAAUAUAAGCUCUCGUACCCUGGAUACGAUCAUCUUAUAACUUAACUAAUAUUUCACUUUGUUACUUGAUAGUUGAUGAGUUUUUUUAGUGGCGUCAAAAAUAAGUAUUCAAAGAAUACUUUUAUCCAUAUAGAGUUUCAUGCGAUACCAAAGAUGUUCAACAAUCAAAUUGUUUUGAGUAAAUAAAGUGAGUUGUUUAAACAUGUAUUUUGGUUUGUGCAGUGUAAGUGCUGAAACAAGAAUAAGAAGAUCAUAUUCUCGAGAUAAAACAUCAUUAACUAAUCAUACCAUUCCUUAGUUGGUUAUAUACUCCUCAUAUUUCAGUUAUACCUUCACUUAUCCCUCAAGCCUCAACAUCGUUUCCAUGUCUAACAAACAACAUGACAUCCAUUGUAACAAUUAACUUCUAAUAUUAAAAAAAUAGUUGAUUGAUUCAAUGACAUAAACUCAAGUGGUUGUAAUCCUAGCACUUGUUGGUGUAAGCCCCAGAGACUAAUGGUUUUAUGCCAAAAUUAUAAUUUGUAUCAUGGCUUUCAUUAAAUGAUAUUUUAUCCUUUAAAAAUGUCAUUUUUUUUUUGUUUACACUAAAAAUGUAAUAUCAUUUAUAAGAUAUUAUUUAUUAUACUUGUUGUAAUGAAGCCCCUCGAAUAGCUAGUUUGGCUAUAGAACAUUAAAUGUAACUUUAUCGUGAUGUAUACAUCAUUAACACAUAUAACACUAUUCUUAAAAUAUUUUUAGUGAAACUUUAAUAUUAAUUUAGAUGAUAAUAAAACAUAGAUACUAUUAUGUACGUAAGCUGAAGACCACAUCUCGCGGGUCAUGCAUAUGAGAUAUAAAUACACACACACACACAUAUAUAUAUAUAUAUAUAUAUAUAUUAAUAUUAUGAAUAAUAAUUAUUUAAAAAAAAAAAUAAAAUUAUAUUGAAUUGACCCACUAAGUUCAUUUCAUUGUUGUUUUUCGUAUUGUUCGUAACCAAACUAGUCGUAAUUUUUCAAACCACAACUUUCUCAAAAUUUGUUAUAGACAUAAAGUGUAUUUUUAGUUAUCAUACGAAAUACACAUAAAAAAAUGAACAAAAUUUUUAUCUUAUUAAAAUAUUAUAUAUUUAUAGUGAUUUUUUAAAGGAUAUUUAUAGUGUUAUGCGGUUUAAUUAUAUAACUGUCCCUUUUGGUUUGAUAGAAAAAUGUCCUAUCUUUUUUUUUGUUUACACAAAAAUGUCAUAUCUUAUGAGUCACUGUCACUAUAAGAGGUUCAAUUCUAAAUCUAUACUAAGGUCCCGUUUGGAUAAACAACUUAUAUUGAUGCUUAUAGCAUUAGAACUUAUAACAUUAAAGUUUACAUCAUAAGCUCUUAUACUUGAUAAGCUAUUUAUGUUUGGAUAUGUACACUAAAAAGUACUUCCAUAAAUUGAAGUGUUUGGAUUUGUUAUUACAUAAGUAAUUAUUAAAAUUUUAAAUAUUUUUAAUUUAACAAAAAAUUCAAAUAAUCGAACCACAAUUAUCAAGAUUUUUUUGAUAAAAUUAAUCAAGAUGUAAAAAAACAAUAUUAUAAUAUAUUAUUUAUAAUUAUAAUUAUAUAUAUAGUAUAAUCAAUAGAUGAGAGUAAAUUAAAAUAUUAAAAAAAAUAUAUAACAAAAUCAAUCUUUAUUUUGUCAAAAAAAAAAAAAACUCAAUCUUUAUUGUCCACGACAUAUGAAUAUAUGUCGAGUUUUUUUCCUUUAUAUUUUAAAAAGUGUAACAAAUUAGAUCGAAUAUAUCCAUACUAUAUAUAAAGAAAAUAUAAGAUUUUGGGCAGGCUUUUUCAUUAUCCUAAUACCCUAAAGCAAUUUUUUCUAUAAUAAUGAUUGUUGUUGUUGUCAUUAAAAGGAUAAGAAUUUUGAUUAUAUUUUUUAUUAUAUUGUUGGUGUCAUCGAAAUAGAUAAACAAAGUUAGUUUGGUUUGUUAUGAUUUGAAAGCAACAAUCAUUUAUAUUUAUACUUUUAAUCAAAAUCAAAAUUUCAUAGAAAAACACCGUUCAUAAUUUUCAAACUUUAGCGAAUAAAAAGAGUGGAAAGACGGGCACAUGAGUGUCCGUCUCUUUGCUAGCAAAAAUAAAAUAAUUUACUGUUAUUAGAAAUAAUUAUAAUUGAAUAUUUAUUUUAUUAUAAACGAUUAUAUUUCUAAAAUAUACACAAUCAAAUAGAAAUUUAAUAUAUAUUAUUCUUAUUGUGAUGAAAUUCUUUCUAUUAUAUCACAUUUAAUUUAUUUUUAACUAAAAAACUUAAAUAAUAUAAUAAAAAAGAUAAAAAAUUGCAAUGACAAUAGUUUAAAUAAAUGGUAUAAUUGAAAGAAAAGUACUUUUAAAAACAUGUAUUAUCUUUGUAAAUGUAUAGAUAAAAUAAAAUGUGCUUUGACUUUUUUCUUUUGAAUCAUAAAAUGUACUUUGACUUUGAACCUCUCCCUAGCUGCCAUGAGCAUUGUAGUGCAGUGUACUCAACUUUAGAGUUAAUGAUAUAUAGGGUGCAAGUCUUCAAUUUUUGGGUGUGCAAGAUAAAAACAAAACAUAGUAUAACAAAGUAUAAAAUAAAAGGUUUAAUAGCAGUUUUAGUCCCUAACUUUUAUAAAGUUGCAAUUUUGGCCCAAAAAAAAACUACAAAACAGCCCCUUAAGUUUUACAUCUGUGACAGUUUUGGUCCAAAGGCCAAUUUUGACUCAGACUACGCUGACGUGGCACCCUAAGUGAAGUGCCACGUGUUAUUUAUUUAUACCAAAAAUUGGCCUUGGCGAGCCAAAACUGUUACAGUUGUAAAACUUAGGGAGCAGUUUUAUAGUUUUUUUUAGGAGACCAAAAUCUUAACUUCGUAAAAAUUAAGAGGCGAAAACUGUUAUUAAGACAAAAUAAAAAGACUGAGACUAUGCCAUAUGCCAGCGUUCUUUACGUUAACUCCAUCGAUAAAUAUUUCAUGAACUCUUGACGAAAAAAAUAAAAAAAUUCAUGAACUCAUUCUUAUAGUAUUUUUAUAAUAUUGCAAUAUUUUUCCUUUUCUUUCGUAUGCAUCAAUCAAAAACAAAUAUUCAAUACCAAUAAAAAACAAAUAUUCACUACUUGACCAAAAAUAAUACUCCUAAUAUUCACAAUUACCCAUAAUAGUGCUUCUUUCCGGAUACCAAUGAAAAAAAUUCACUUGAGUCCAUUAUACAUAAUUGGACAUGUGCGUAUCUUAACAUUGUUGAAUUUUAAGUGUGAGUGAUUAUCCUACCUUAAUUAGAAAUGAAACAAAAUGUUGGAUAUAUAAAGAUAGGAGAUUCUUUUACCUGAUCCCUUGAAAUUUUAGGUGGAAAUAUGACAUCUAAGUCUUAAUAUCCUAGACGUUUAGUCCAUUGUCAGUCCCGUUCCUCAACAAACAUGACACCAUUAAUUGAUUGGCCAAACAAUUUUUUAAUUAUUUAAAAAGUAUACAAGUUGCAAUUAUACAUAUUUUCAACUGUUAUGGAAAUUCAGUGGGGGACUUCACAACUAUUGAUUUUUUUUUUUUUUUUUUUUAAGGAAUCACAACUAUUGAGUUGAUUCUAUAGAAUAGUCAACUUUACGACUAUUUCAGCUAGAUAUCGAACUCUAUGGUUCAUAAAUCCUAGUAUUACGGGAAUUUUAAAAUCAUUUGAGUGACAUUAUAAUAAAACUAACAGGGUAAGGUUACUGAACGCCAUACUCAUACUGCUAGUUUGCUAGCUGCAUAUUUACUUUUGCAUUAUUGUCAACUACUAGCAUGUGAAAAUUCACGAGGCAUGAUGAAUUAUUAAAUGAUUUCUUUUGUUGACAAAAUCAUAACUAUAUUCAAUCAUUUAUUGAUAGAGUAUAUCAGAUACAAACAACGCUAAAAACGUAAAGGAUGAAUCUGUAAACAAAUUCACAGCAUCCAAAUUAAUAGCAUACAACGACAAUAUAUCUGCAAAUAAUAUGAUAAAAUAUAUCUAAGUCACCGAAAUACCAAUGCUUCCGAAUUUGCAACGUUGACGCCCAAAUCAUUAGUUGAAUUUAUAAUUGACUGAUGUCGAUCUUUCAAGAUGAACUAAACGAACACCGUGAUAAGACGCAAAAAAUCAAACGCCGCACAAAACGGCGAACAACAGAACGCCGCAUUUAAACAACGAAAUCACUAAAAACAAAAGGAAAAACUUGAUUUAUGUGAAAACCACUUAUUUAGAUUGAAAUAAAAGGAGAAAAAAGAUUAGAGGGGUGAUUCUAGGUCAAAAAAUAACCUAAAAUCACUCAUCCUCGAUGAAUGAAGGAGAAAGAAGGUUUAGAGAGAAGUUGGAGUUUCUCUCACUAAAAAAUAGGGCCCGCUUUUGCUUUAUGAAUUAUUAAAUGAUGGUGACAACUAGGGUACCCAUGGAAGAAUGGUGGGUAAUUUACUCCAACCAAUACACAUUAGCCACAUAAACACAUUUUUAAGUGGUAUCCAUGAACUAUCUUGACCCCACCAACAAAUUGCUCAUUUUCAUUGGUUGGUGGGUAAAUUACCCACCAUUCUUCCAAGAUAAUUUAGAAAAAACCUUAAAGGAUAUAUAUGUCUAAAAAUUAUUUCCAAAGACAGUCAGUAUGAAAUUAAUUGUAUAUGUCAAUUUGAUUGUCAAGGGUUAAUUCCCAUAUAACUUUACGACUCUCGUAAUUCUUCCUCUUUUUUUUUGUUUUGUUACCAUCAUAAUUCUUCCUUUAAUGCACAUAUACAUGAUGCAUGCACCACACCUGCAAUUUAUAUAUUCUUUUAUGAAUGAAACUCUUUGAAUAGAACAAGAAUAUAGAGAAGGAGAGAGGAAGAGAGGAGAAGUGUAUUCUAUUAUUCUCUGGAGUCUAUACGUAUGUUAGACGUUAGCUUUAUUUAUAGAUAAAUAUAAUAACAUGACAUAAUAAUAUGACAUGCAAUCAGUUGUAUGACCCAAUAGCCAAAAAUUUAUCGACAUGUUUUAGAAUCUUUGUAGGAGUUCUGAUAAUAUUUAUACCAUUCUUAUGAAAUCGAUGAUAACAAAUUCAUUUUCAAAUCUUUAAAAUAGACCAAUGAUAUCAUCUCUACAAUAGUUUUAAUAGUAUCUCUUACGAAAAUUAAAUGUUGCUUAUAAUCAUCACUAACAAGUGAGCCAUGCAUAUACAUUGUAACACAUUUUUCAUAUAAACGAAGUUUUUAGUUGGAACUAAACAUAAUCAAGCGAUAAAAAAAAAAUCUUGAAUUCGCUUCAGACAACAUGUCUCUUAAAAAUAAAUGGUAGUCAUUUACACAUAAAUCUCUAGUGAACAUAUUUGUUGCGAUAUAGGACAAAGCCCAACCACUGAUGAGUUCCAAAGGGCUCAUCCCCGAAGGAGUUUAAUGGUAUGUCGUAUGUGAGCGAACAAACCCAUAAGAAGACAACCUAAGCUACCAACAACGUAGAAGAACACAGACCAAGGCCAACAACCGACAAGUUCUGUAACACAAGAAGACACGGGCCGAGGUGAAUAACAAGCAUAGUCUGUUUCAUACGAGCACCCACAAACCAAAGGUGAGCAAUCAAUAUGGUUUGUGGAACAAAUCCAUAAAAGAACAAGAUCUACAACUCUAGUUUAAAGGACAACAAUUGUCCCUGAAAGGAAUAUGAUUGUCUUUCCAAGACAGCUAUCCAAGCAAGCAUGUAAGGGCGCAAGCCUUAAGACCCUACUAUAAAUACUGGCUCUAAAGCCCUCAACCAGAUAUGUACACUAUUCACUAUACAAAACCUAUCGUCCCACAAGAUAAACAUAAACAACGCUCCAAAGGUCACCUGAUAAGAACCAAUAUUCACUAUACAAUAAUGGCUCUGAUUGAAUCAUCUUUAACCAUCUCAACCAUUCUCGUGGUCAAGUCAGCUAUUCAUAUCAUAUACCGACAAGAUAACAAGAACCAAUGCUCCAAAUGUCACCUACUAUCUAAUGAAAAGAUGAGAAACUACCAUGAUUCGGGGAUUUGUGGAUCCGAAGACAACCACAAAUCCCCAUAGCCUUCAAAACAUCGAGAAAAGGGAAAAAGAAGCAACUCACCCCAUCAUCAUUGCCAUCGUUCCAUUUCUUCGAAACCUAGUGAAUAUGAGGAAGAUAUGGUCCCAUGCAAUAUGAUCUUAAGAAGCAUCAAUAACUACCCUGUAUAAUGGGGCCUUUAAAAGCCACUGGCCCUCCAGUCCUAUAUGGGAACUUUAGACCUCUCUCUUAUUCAGGGGAGCCUGGCGUUAGAUGAAGUGUAAAUUGUUUCUAUUAACUAUACAUAAAGGGGACAUGGCUUGGUUCAAAUCCUUAAGGACAUGAUAUGUCAAAUAUGGACCUAACUCGAUCGAAAUUUUAUGGCCCAUUUCAUCGCGUUUGAAAAACAGCCUUAGCAAGUUGACACUACAAGAAAUUUGCUUAUUACUGGCGGAAAUAAGCCCUCAAUAAUGCACAAAUUUGUCAGUAAUGGAUAUUACUGAGGGAUUGGUGUCCCUCAGUAAUACUGGCGUCAGUAAUGUUACCGGCGGAAUAUUCCCUCAGUAGUGUUGGGGAUGAUUUGAGGAAGCAAUACUGAGGGAUUUUUCCUUCAGUAAUUACUGGCGGAAUAAUCGGCCAGUAAGUACUGACGAAAAAAUCCGCCAAUAACUUAAUAUAGGAAAUGUAACAAAAUAAUACUGCCGUUUUAUUCCGCCAAUAAUGUUACGACCAAUAAUACUAUCCAAUAAAAUCCGCCAGUAAUUUUGCUUCCAAUUAUUAUUAAAUUUAAAAUCCGCCAGUAAUACUUUUUUUUUUAAACGAUUUAAUUAAUUGAUUAUAAAGAUAAAUUAAAUUUCCACUGUUUUUUUUAGAGCACUUACUAAUGAAAUAAAAUUAAUUAGACAAAUAAAAUAAAGAAAUAAUUUUUUUGUUGGAUCAACAAAUCUUCAUCAGCAUAGGAAGGUAUAAGAACCACCAACUCUAGCAAAGUAAAGAAACACAUACAAAAUUCUAACAGUAGCAGCAAGUUACAUCACCAAAAAAACUAAAGCAAAAUAACAAGGGAAGCAAACACAAACAUUCGUUGGGUGCACCCUGUUUCUGCACUGCUAAGACAAAAAACUAGCAAAAUAAAAACCAACAACCAGUCUACAAAAGAAGAAAAACCAAUGCCUAUUUCCCAAGACCGCCUAUUUCCCAAGACCACCACAUAACAAAGAAUAGUCCAAACUAAUCAUCAUAGUAUUGGGGCAAAUUUGAUCCAGAUCUCCCACCUGAUGAUCCACUUCCUCCUCUACCCAUGUUUUGGAGAUUUUCUUGUGAUGCAUUUAAAUUACUAUAGUUUCUUAAAAAAAUUUCACCAUCUGGUAUGUUGAAAUCAGCGGCAUUGAAAGCGGACCUCGCCGAAGAAGACGUUUGGCGAUCACCCAUAGGAACAUGAGGUCUAUGAUGCUUUUCAUGAUCACUACGCACAAAUUGGGGUUGUACGCAAAGGCGUUUGUUUGACUGCGGCAUUAUGCGCCUAAUGGGCGACAUCCUGUUGUGAUAAUAGGAAAAGAAAAUGAAAAAAAAUGAGAAAAUGAUUAUUUUGAAAAUAAAAGAAUUCCAAUGAAAUAUUGAAUUCAUAUUUAUAUAACCAAGAAGGUAAUUAUCAGGACAAUGCCAAAGGUCCACAAAAUUUGUUGCCGAAAUUGAUGAAGUUAUAUUGAUUGGGAAAUUCCAGUAGUUCCAUUAUUAAAGAGCACAAAAAAUCUAAAAAACAUUUGAGAGUCCAACUUGUCGGCUUCUAACAAAUAUAUUUUUUGAUCAAAUUGAACUCAUUAUUUCAGAAUAUGCAACACCAACAUACCUGAAUCUCUAUACACUAUUAUUUGUGUUACACCACCACUCAUCAAUGAAGAAAUAAUUAUAUACUUAAACCUGUAAUGCGACUAAUCUUAAAUUGCACUAUAAGAUCUUAGUACUAAAUUGGUAAUAAAACAAAACAAAAAAGAAAGUAAUAAAACUUAAAAAAAAAAAAUGAAUCAGAUAUAAGAUCAUACCCCCAAAUCAUCAUAUUGCGGUGUUAUCGCGUGAUCAUAUGGAUCAAGUUGUGAUGUAUCCCCACGAGAUCGCCGUUGUUGCUCUAGCAUGGUUCUUUGCAAAUGCACCAAUUCAACUACUUGGCUCUUCAUUUCUUGUUGUGAUUUUACAAGUUCUUCUUGUUGUACGUUAAUAUUGCAUUCUCAGCCCUCAAUUGCUCAACCUCAGUAUAAAUGGGAUCGUCGUGUCUACGAGUUGACCGACCUGUGCGUUCAAAAGAGUUAAGGCAAGUAUCUAUGAAUUUGCCAGAUGAAUCCUUCUGAUAUAACUUAGAGUUACUACCAGCACCAACAAUACGGCCCUUGUCCACCCACAAUAUCUAUAAAUUUGUUCAUUAUAAUCAGUUUUUGGAUGUUACUGAAGGUUUAUUCCGCUAGUAAUUACAGAGGGUCUAAAUCAGUAAUGCAAUUUUGAAUUGGUUAGUAGAUUGGGGAAUUCUUGUAGUGAUAGUCUCGAAGAAAUUCUUUAGGGGAAAGAAGAGUCCCUGCAUAGUUACAUAGAGAAAUUCAACAAAGAAGAAAUAUGGAUAAUGACAAGAUGAAAACUUAUUUCUCGUGGAAAAGUCUAAGAAAAGGGAUCAAGUUCACCGAAAGUAUCAGGCUAAAGACACCCCAAGACAUUAACCACCUACUACAACGGGUCGAGAAGUACAUGCAAUCUGAGAGAAUUUUUGAAGUUAAUAAUGUGAUGAACGUUAACAAGGAUAAUAUCGACCCGCGAAGGCUCAUGGGGCAAAGUACCAUGAGUAUACCCCACUCAACAUGUCUAGAGACCACAUCCUUCAGAAGUGCAUUAGCAUGGAAUUCAAAGAAGACGUUGAGCAUCCUUGCAAGACCAACAAACUACCUGGGAUGGAUAAAAUAAGGUAUUUCUGUUUUCACUAUUUUUAUGGCCACAUAAAGGAGGAAUGCAUCGAACUGAAUGUUGUGAUAGAGGAUUUGAUCUUAAAGGGAAAGUUGAAGAGGUUCAAAGCAUGAAAUGAAUGGGGAGCCCAUUCCUUUUAUACACAAACCCAUACUCUCAUGUCAUCAGGGCACAUAAGCUCUAAAAGAAAGUAUGAAGAAUAAGGAAUGAACCCCGACCUCGGGGUGUUUGAUGAUAAAUUUGGUAAGUGCACAAAGUUGUAAUAAGUAAUAAAGUGAUAGUUAUCAUCUCCACAUAAAUUGUUGUCAACUCAGAAAUUUACUAAAACUAUUUAAAUUAAAAAGCAGUAAAGGGUUUCAGGGUUGCAAGUUUGAUUUGUCUGCAUAAUAAGAGUAGUAGUUUAUUGUUGACAACUAAAGAGUUUGAUUCAUAUGUUUAACGGUGAUCAGGAGUUUUUGAAAAAUUAAGUUAGCAUACAACAAACAUUGGUAAAAAAAAAAAACAUACAACAAACAUUAUAGUGUGAAAAUGAGGGUAAAAGCAUAAGUAUAGGUGCUUGCUAAAGUUUUUGAACAACAACUUAGACACAAAAACAAGGUUAUCGAGGUGUGCCAUCGGGAAAAGGUUUGAGAGCAUCUUGGUUCCCAUUAACAUAAUAUUCAACAAUUGCUUUCAUUCGCCGAAGCUUAUCACGGUGGUAAUUCAAGUGAAUAAUUACCGGUUUCAAUUUACUGAGGUUAGCAUCGUUCCUCACUGUCCUGAAAAGAACUCUGCUGUUCAUAAAAAGAUAUAUAUCCAUAGUUCUUUUAGAAGCAUGAAGCCCGUCAUA
RNAcentral lists this long non-coding RNA (21144 nucleotides) under Medicago truncatula (barrel medic). RNAcentral's name for it is "long non-coding RNA (MTRU_LNC001984)". The stretch from base 2923 to 3011 matches the Rfam family "MIR2617 microRNA precursor family". The record is from RNAcentral. Lineage: Eukaryota; Viridiplantae; Streptophyta; Magnoliopsida; Fabales; Fabaceae.